RNAcentral lists this ribosomal RNA (403 nucleotides) under uncultured bacterium. RNAcentral describes it as "partial 16S ribosomal RNA". It matches the Rfam family "Bacterial small subunit ribosomal RNA", at positions 30 to 526 of the family's 1533-position model. The record is from RNAcentral.
AUUGAACGCUGGCGGCAGGCCUAACACAUGCAAGUCGAGCGAGCGGCGGACGGGUGAGUAAUGUAUGGGGACUGCCCGAUAGAGGGGGAUAACAACUGGAACCGGUGGCUAAUACCGCAUACUAUCGGAUAACCCAUAUGGGAUUAGCUAGUAGGUGGGGUAAAGGAUCACCUAGGCGACGAUCUCUAGCUGGGCGGAGAGGAUGGUAAGGCACACUGGGAGUGAGAUCAGGCCCAGACUCCAACGGAGGCGGGGGUGGAGAAUAUUGUACAAUGGGCGCAAGCCUGAUGCAGCCCUGCCGCGUGUAUGAAGAAGGCCUUAGGUUUGUAAAGUACUUUCAGCGGGGAGGCGUUACCCUCAGAAGAAGCACCGGCUAACUCCGUGCCAGCAGCCGCGGUAAUUC